RNAcentral lists this ribosomal RNA (354 nucleotides) under uncultured bacterium. RNAcentral's name for it is "bacterial SSU rRNA". It matches the Rfam family "Bacterial small subunit ribosomal RNA", at positions 1 to 334 of the family's 1533-position model. The record is from RNAcentral.
GACGUGACUUCAGAGUUUGAUCCUGGCUCAGGAUGAACGCUGGCGGCGUGCUUAACACAUGCAAGUCGAACGAAGCACUUUAAACUGAUUCUUCGGAUGAAGUUUUUUGUGACUUAGUGGCGGACGGGUGAGUAACGCGUGAGUAACCUGCCUUACACAGGGGGAUAACAGUUAGAAAUGACUGCUAAUACCGCAUAAGCGCACAGGACCGCAUGGUCUGGUGUGAAAAGUUUUUCGGUGUAAGAUGGACUCGCGUCUGAUUAGCUAGUUGGUGAGGUAAUGGCUCACCAAGGCGACGAUCAGUAGCCGACUUGAGAGAGUGAUCGGCCACAUUGGGACUGAGACACGGCCCAA